Molecule: ribosomal RNA, 253 nt
Filed under: uncultured bacterium
Lineage: Bacteria
Description: partial 16S ribosomal RNA
Rfam family: Bacterial small subunit ribosomal RNA
Source: RNAcentral
UACGUAGGGUGCGAGCGUUAAUCGGAAUUACUGGGCGUAAAGCGUGCGCAGGCGGUUCGCUAAGACCGAUGUGAAAUCCCCGGGCUUAACCUGGGAACUGCAUUGGUGACUGGCGGGCUAGAGUAUGGCAGAGGGGGGUAGAGUUCCACGUGUAGCAGUGAAAUGCGUAGAGAUGUGGAGGAAUACCGAUGGCGAAGGCAGCCCCCUGGGCCAAUACUGACGCUCAUGCACGAAAGCGUGGGGAGCAAACAGG